RNAcentral lists this ribosomal RNA (425 nucleotides) under uncultured bacterium. RNAcentral describes it as "bacterial SSU rRNA". It matches the Rfam family "Bacterial small subunit ribosomal RNA", at positions 355 to 772 of the family's 1533-position model. The record is from RNAcentral.
UGGGGAAUUUUGGACAAUGGGGGCAACCCUGAUCCAGCCAUGCCGCGUGUGUGAAGAAGGCCUUCGGGUUGUAAAGCACUUUCGGCCGGAACGAAAUCGCGCGGGUGAAUAUCCCGCGUGGAUGACGGUACCCCCCGAAUAAGCCCCGGCUAACUCCGUGCCAGCAGCCGCGGUAAGACGGAGGGGGCAAGCGUUGUCAGGAAUCACUGGGCGUAAAGCGCGCGUAGGUGGCACAGUGCGUCGGUGCUGAAAGCGCCGGGCUUAACCCGGCGAGGUGCAGCGAUACGACUGAGCUCGAGGCCAGCAGAGGGUGGCGGAAUUCCGGGUGUAGUGGUGAAAUGCGUAGAGAUCCGGAGGAACGCCGGUGGUGAAGACGGCCACCUGGGCUGGACCUGACACUGAGGUGCGACAGCGUGGGGAGCGAA